This 430-nucleotide ribosomal RNA is filed under the name Pseudomonadota bacterium. Its description in RNAcentral is "Proteobacteria bacterium partial 16S ribosomal RNA". It matches the Rfam family "Bacterial small subunit ribosomal RNA", at positions 355 to 776 of the family's 1533-position model. Lineage: Bacteria; Pseudomonadati; Pseudomonadota. The record is from RNAcentral.
UGGGGAAUAUUGGAUAAUGGGGGGAACCCUGAUCCAGCCAUGCCGCGUGUGUGAAGAAGGCCGUAUGGUUGUAAAGCACUUUAAGCGAGGAGGAGGGUACUGGUAUUAGUACUACCAGGUACUGGACGUUACUCGCAGAAUAAGCACCGGCUAACUCUGUGCCAGCAGCCGCGGUAAUACAGAGGGUGCGAGCGUUAAUCGGAUUUACUGGGCGUAAAGCGUGCGUAGGCGGCUAAUUGAGUCGGAUGUGUAAUCCCCGAGCUUAACUUGGGAAUUGCAUUCGAUACUGGUUAGCUAGAUUGUGGGAGAGGAUGGUAGAAUUCCAGGUGUAGCGGUGAAAUGCGUAGAGAUCUGGAGGAAUACCGAUAGCGAAGGCAGCCAUCUGGCCUAACACUGACGCUGAGGUACGAAAGCAUGGGGAGCAAACAAG